This 500-nucleotide ribosomal RNA is filed under the name uncultured bacterium. RNAcentral describes it as "partial 16S ribosomal RNA". It matches the Rfam family "Bacterial small subunit ribosomal RNA", at positions 30 to 523 of the family's 1533-position model. The record is from RNAcentral.
AUUGAACGCUGGCGGAAUGCUUUACACAUGCAAGUCGAACGGCAGCACGGACUUCGGUCUGGUGGCGAGUGGCGAACGGGUGAGUAAUGUAUCGGAACGUGCCCAGUCGUGGGGGAUAACGUAGUGAAAAUUACGCUAAUACCGCAUACGAUCUAUGGAUGAAAGCGGGGGAUCGCAAGACCUCGCGCGAUUGGAGCGGCCGAUAUCAGAUUAGGUAGUUGGUGGGGUAAAGGCCCACCAAGCCAACGAUCUGUAGCUGGUCUGAGAGGACGACCAGCCACACUGGAACUGAGACACGGGCCAGACUCCUACGGGAGGCAGCAGUGGGGAAUUUUGGACAAUGGGUGAAAGCCUGAUCCAGCCAUUCCGCGUGCAGGAUGAAGGCCCUCGGGUUGUAAACUGCUUUUGUACAGAACGAAAAGGUUUCUACUAAUACUAGGAGCUCAUGACGGUACUGUAAGAAUAAGCAUCGGCUAACUACGUGCCAGCAGCCGCCGUAA